This 469-nucleotide ribosomal RNA is filed under the name uncultured Brevundimonas sp. RNAcentral's name for it is "bacterial SSU rRNA". It matches the Rfam family "Bacterial small subunit ribosomal RNA", at positions 8 to 524 of the family's 1533-position model. Lineage: Bacteria; Pseudomonadati; Pseudomonadota; Alphaproteobacteria; Caulobacterales; Caulobacteraceae. The record is from RNAcentral.
AGAGUUUGAUCCUGGCUCAGAGCGAACGCUGGCGGCAGGCCUAGCACAUGCAAUCGGACGAACUCUUCGGAGUUAGUGGCGGACGGGUGAGUAACGCGUGGGAACGUGCCUUUAGGUUCGGAAUAACUCAGGGAAACUUGUGCUAAUACCGAAUGUGCCCUUCGGGGGAAAGAUUUAUCGCCUUUAGAGCGGCCCGCGUCUGAUUAGCUAGUUGGUGAGGUAAAGGCUCACGAAGGCGACGAUCAGUAGCUGGUCUGAGAGGAUGAUCAGCCACAUUGGGACCGAGACACGGCCCAAACUCCUACGGGAGGCAGCAGUGGGGAAUCUUGCGCAAUGGGCGAAAGCCUGACGCAGCCAUGCCGCGUGAAUGAUGAAGGUCUUAGGAUUGUAAAAUUCUUUCACCGGGGACGAUAAUGACGGUACCCGGAGAAGAAGCCCCGGCUAACUUCGUGCCAGCAGCCGCGGUAAU